RNAcentral lists this ribosomal RNA (114 nucleotides) under Vibrio campbellii. RNAcentral describes it as "partial 23S ribosomal RNA". The stretch from base 1 to 96 matches the Rfam family "Bacterial large subunit ribosomal RNA", at positions 2830 to 2925 of the family's 2925-position model. Lineage: Bacteria; Pseudomonadati; Pseudomonadota; Gammaproteobacteria; Vibrionales; Vibrionaceae. RNAcentral also lists the same sequence under 1 other name. The record is from RNAcentral.
AAGGGUUGUUCGAGACUAGAACGUUGAUAGGCAGGGUGUGUAAGCGUUGUGAGGCGUUGAGCUAACCUGUACUAAUUGCCCGUGAGGCUUAACCAUACAACACCCAAGGGGUUU